CAGUAGCCGCGGUAAUACAGAGGGUGCGAGCGUUAAUCGGAUUUACUGGGCGUAAAGCGUGCGUAGGCGGCUUCUUAAGUCGGAUGUGAAAUCCCCGGGCUCAACCUGGGAACUGCAUUUGUGACUGUAUAGCUAGAGUACGGCAGAGGGGGAUGGAAUUCCGCGUGUAGCAGUGAAAUGCGUAGAUAUGCGGAGGAACACCGAUGGCGAAGGCGACUACCUGGACUGAUACUGACACUGAGGUGCGAAAGCGUGGGGAGCAAACAGGAUUAGAUACCCGCGUAGUCCCUGUCUCUUAUAC
RNAcentral lists this ribosomal RNA (301 nucleotides) under uncultured bacterium. RNAcentral describes it as "partial 16S ribosomal RNA". It matches the Rfam family "Bacterial small subunit ribosomal RNA", at positions 509 to 807 of the family's 1533-position model. The record is from RNAcentral.